Molecule: ribosomal RNA, 430 nt
Filed under: uncultured bacterium
Lineage: Bacteria
Description: bacterial SSU rRNA
Rfam family: Bacterial small subunit ribosomal RNA
Source: RNAcentral
AACGCGAAGAACCUUACCUACCCUUGACAUGCCACUAACGAAGCAGAGAUGCAUUAGGUGCUCGAAAGAGAAAGUGGACACAGGUGCUGCAUGGCUGUCGUCAGCUCGUGUCGUGAGAUGUUGGGUUAAGUCCCGCAACGAGCGCAACCCUUGUCUCUAGUUGCUACGAAAGGGCACUCUAGAGAGACUGCCGGUGACAAACCGGAGGAAGGUGGGGAUGACGUCAAGUCCUCAUGGCCCUUAUGGGUAGGGCUUCACACGUCAUACAAUGGUGCAUACAGAGGGUUGCCAAGCCGCGAGGUGGAGCUAAUCCCAGAAAAUGCAUCGUAGUCCGGAUCGUAGUCUGCAACUCGACUACGUGAAGCUGGAAUCGCUAGUAAUCGCGGAUCANCAUGCCGCGGUGAAUACNUUCCCGGUGUGUACAAGACCC